AGAACAUCCAAAGCAGGCUGAGUUGCAUGUUGUUUUGCUCAUACGAUUGUGAACUUUGAAAUGAUAUUAUUUAAUCACUUGACAUAUCCCUUUUUUAUUACAGAGGAUUCGGAGGCCCUUGAAAGUUUUGUACAUUAUUUGUAAAGGAAAAGAGUAAUACUGAUAACCUUUGGGAAUUUAUAAAACAUUGGGGAUAGUUAAGAGUUGCAAG
This 211-nucleotide unclassified non-coding RNA is filed under the name Hevea brasiliensis (rubber tree). The record is from RNAcentral. Lineage: Eukaryota; Viridiplantae; Streptophyta; Magnoliopsida; Malpighiales; Euphorbiaceae.